CUUUCCAGAGAGGGACCUUGUAAGGCUGACUUUGGAAUAUGACUGCAUUCUGCUGAUUGUAAAGGAGGAAAAGGAUUCUCACAUGACAAUGAAGAGACUGAAGAAGUAUCAUCAAUGGAUAAAGCAGAAUAGAAAUAGCAGCCGCCUGGACCAUACCUAGAAAGGAAUCAUUUUGCCUGGCAGAAGCAUGAAACAGUUCCAUAUUUGAGAUGGCAUUUACCACUGAGGGAAAAAAAAAGUAUCAUGUGAAAGAAGCAAGAAUUGGACUGACCACACACUUGUCAUUGCCAAUCAGAUGCUGCAAAACAAUGGAUCUGUUUUUCAGAGUUCUGAAAUAAAAUGCUAAUCAAACUAGAAUCUGCUUAGCUAAGACACUGCCAAAUAUGAAGACCAAAUAAAAGAUUUUCAGAUGUGUCAUAAUUCAGAGUUUAUACUCCAAGCAUUCUUUUGUAGAAAGGAACUCAAGGGUGUAUUUCAGCAAAAUAAAGAAGUAAAGUACUAGAGCCAUCACUCAGAGAGCAAAUGACCAGACCAGAUGCUAACAACAAACAUUGUGUGACUUCCUAUCUCCAGCCACUUCUGAAGUCAGAUCUAUUUUCUUGAGUUGGAGGGCGGUGGCACGGUAUUGGCUCACUGCAACCUCCGUCUCCCAGGUUCAAGUGAUUCUCCUGCCUCAGCCUCCCAAGUAGCUGGGACUACAGGCAAGCACCACCAUGCCCAG
This 721-nucleotide long non-coding RNA is filed under the name Homo sapiens (human). RNAcentral describes it as "non-protein coding lnc-GCA-5:6". The record is from RNAcentral. Lineage: Eukaryota; Metazoa; Chordata; Mammalia; Primates; Hominidae.